This 1429-nucleotide ribosomal RNA is filed under the name metagenome. Its description in RNAcentral is "bacterial SSU rRNA". It matches the Rfam family "Bacterial small subunit ribosomal RNA". The record is from RNAcentral.
GCAGCUUGCUGCUUCGCUGACGAGUGGCGGACGGGUGAGUAAUGUCUGGGAAGCUGCCUGAUGGAGGGGGAUAACUACUGGAAACGGUAGCUAAUACCGCAUAAUGUCGCAAGACCAAAGAGGGGGACCUUCGGGCCUCUUGCCAUCGGAUGUGCCCAGAUGGGAUUAGCUUGUUGGUGGGGUAACGGCUCACCAAGGCGACGAUCCCUAGCUGGUCUGAGAGGAUGACCAGCCACACUGGAACUGAGACACGGUCCAGACUCCUACGGGAGGCAGCAGUGGGGAAUAUUGCACAAUGGGCGCAAGCCUGAUGCAGCCAUGCCGCGUGUAUGAAGAAGGCCUUCGGGUUGUAAAGUACUUUCAGCGGGGAGGAAGGGAGUAAAGUUAAUACCUUUGCUCAUUGACGUUGCCCGCAGAAGAAGCACCGGCUAACUCCGUGCCAGCAGCCGCGGUAAUACGGAGGGUGCAAGCGUUAAUCGGAAUUACUGGGCGUAAAGCGCACGCAGGCGGUUUGUUAAGUCAGAUGUGAAAUCCCCGGGCUCAACCUGGGAACUGCAUCUGAUACUGGCAAGCUUGAGUCUCGUAGAGGGGGGUAGAAUUCCAGGUGUAGCGGUGAAAUGCGUAGAGAUCUGGAGGAAUACCGGUGGCGAAGGCGGCCCCCUGGACGAAGACUGACGCUCAGGUGCGAAAGCGUGGGGAGCAAACAGGAUUAGAUACCCUGGUAGUCCACGCCGUAAACGAUGUCGACUUGGAGGUUGUGCCCUUGAGGCGUGGCUUCCGGAGCUAACGCGUUAAGUCGACCGCCUGGGGAGUACGGCCGCAAGGUUAAAACUCAAAUGAAUUGACGGGGGCCCGCACAAGCGGUGGAGCAUGUGGUUUAAUUCGAUGCAACGCGAAGAACCUUACCUGGUCUUGACAUCCACGGAAGUUUUCAGAGAUGAGAAUGUGCCUUCGGGAACCGUGAGACAGGUGCUGCAUGGCUGUCGUCAGCUCGUGUUGUGAAAUGUUGGGUUAAGUCCCGCAACGAGCGCAACCCUUAUCCUUUGUUGCCAGCGGUCCGGCCGGGAACUCAAAGGAGACUGCCAGUGAUAAACUGGAGGAAGGUGGGGAUGACGUCAAGUCAUCAUGGCCCUUACGACCAGGGCUGCACACGUGCUACAAUGGCGCAUACAAAGAGAAGCGACCUCGCGAGAGCAAGCGGACCUCAUAAAGUGCGUCGUAGUCCGGAUUGGAGUCUGCAACUCGACUCCAUGAAGUCGGAAUCGCUAGUAAUCGUGGAUCAGAAUGCCACGGUGAAUACGUUCCCGGGCCUUGUACACACCGCCCGUCACACCAUGGGAGUGGGUUGCAAAAGAAGUAGGUAGCUUAACCUUCGGGAGGGCGCUUACCACUUUGUGAUUCAUGACUGGGGUGAAGUCGUAACAAGGUA